AUACGUAGGUGGCAAGCGUUGUCCGGAAUUAUUGGGCGUAAAGCGCAUGUAGGCGGUAAUUUAAGACUGUCGUGAAACUGCGGGGCUCAGCCCCGUAUGGCGAUGGAAACUGGGUUACUUGAGUGCAGGAGAGGAAAGGGGAACUCCCAGUGUAGCGGUGAAAUGCGUAGAUAUUGGGAAGAACACCGGUGGCGAAGGCGCUUUUCUGGACUGUGUCUGACGCUGAGAUGCGAAAGCCAGGGUAGCGAACGGGAUUGGAUACCCCGGUAGUCCUGGCCGUAAACGAUGGGUACUAGGUGUGGGAGGUAUCGACCCCUUCCGUGCCGGAGUUAACGCAAUAAGUACCCCGCCUGGGGAGUACGGCCGCAAGGCUUAAACUCAAAGGAAUUGACGGGG
Molecule: ribosomal RNA, 396 nt
Filed under: uncultured bacterium
Lineage: Bacteria
Description: partial 16S ribosomal RNA
Rfam family: Bacterial small subunit ribosomal RNA
Source: RNAcentral